RNAcentral lists this ribosomal RNA (216 nucleotides) under Campeiostachys nutans. Its description in RNAcentral is "Elymus nutans partial small subunit ribosomal RNA". The stretch from base 38 to 216 matches the Rfam family "Eukaryotic small subunit ribosomal RNA", at positions 684 to 864 of the family's 1831-position model. Lineage: Eukaryota; Viridiplantae; Streptophyta; Magnoliopsida; Poales; Poaceae. The record is from RNAcentral.
GGAUCAAUUUGCUGGCCGUGCCUCUGGUACGUACUGGUAUUAUUGGUUUCUCCCUUCUGACGAACCAUGAUGUCAUUAAUUUGAUGUCGUGGAGAAUCAGGACUGUUACUUUGAAAAAAUUAGAGUGUUUAAAGCAGGCAUUAGCUUGAAUACAUUAGCAUGGGAUAAUGUAAUAGGACGUUUGAUCCUAUUUUGUUGGUUUCUAGGACCAAAGUA